AUCUUCAACCUCAUUUGCAAAAAAAGAGUCAUUUGCUUUUUUCUUUCUUUAAAAUUGUUUUCAAAGAUUUAAAAUUCUAUUUUUGAGUAACGAAUUCACAUACUUCAAAGAUCCAAAUGGAUAAAAGAAGACGCACAGGGAAUUUGUGCUCAUGUCCCCAUCUGUCAUGGCAUAACUCUAACACAUCUUUAAUCAUUCUUGCAGCCCUACUAUCCACACCUUUGUGGAAUACCCUCCUUGAGUGUGGGCAGAAUUUGCUUAACCGGAUCCCGAGCAGCUCACUUUCUGGGGCACCCAUUUCUGUCUUCACUCUCUGCCCGGCAGAAGAGGCGACUCAGGUAUACUGUUCCAUCACCAGCAUUACUUGGCUAAUCCUUGAUUUGACAGAGCCUGUUAUAUGGACUGGAUGUCUGUAUCCCCAAGUUCAUAUGUUGAAGCCCUGACCCCAUGUGGAGGUAUCUGGAGGUGGGGCCUUCUGGGAAGGAAUUAGGGUUAGAGGGGCCAUGAGGGUGGUGCUCCCAAGAGGGGAUUAGAGUCCUUCUGUAAAGAGAUACCAGGAAGCUUGCUCUCCAACUCUCUGCCACGAGAGGACACAGGACAAGGGAGCUUGUGUGCAAGCCAGAAGGGUGGCUCUCCCCAGGCACUGGAUCAGCUGGCACCUUGUUCUUGGACGUCAGACUCCCAGCGUGGAAGUUACUCCCAAAGGAGCGUCACUUUGGCUGUUAAAUGUUUUACCUCUUGGUCUUUGUUUCAGAUCCCUUCUAGAAGAAAGCCCACAGGAGGGCAGAGGGAAGGAGGCAAGGGGAGAAGGCAGAAGAACCGGGUGCCAAGCACCCGAAGCAAACUAGUUUAGCCCACCCUUCACUGAAUUAAAUGGCCUGUGGCUGCCCCAUAACACUGGGGUGUUAAAACUUAAAACUGUGGCUCUCAGACAAACCCGCUCUCUGCCUCUUUUUGUAAGGCCCACACCAAGAAUGGUUUGUUUUUUAACAUCUUCAAAGAGUUGAAGAAAAAUGACAGCCACACUGAUGGUACGUGGCAAAGUCGAAAAUAUUUACUAUCUGGCCCAUUUACGGAAAAACUCUUC
This 1087-nucleotide long non-coding RNA is filed under the name Bos indicus x Bos taurus (hybrid cattle). RNAcentral describes it as "lncRNA (ENSBIXG00000005746.1)". The record is from RNAcentral. Lineage: Eukaryota; Metazoa; Chordata; Mammalia; Artiodactyla; Bovidae.